RNAcentral lists this ribosomal RNA (586 nucleotides) under uncultured bacterium. Its description in RNAcentral is "bacterial SSU rRNA". It matches the Rfam family "Bacterial small subunit ribosomal RNA", at positions 65 to 647 of the family's 1533-position model. The record is from RNAcentral.
AACGCGAAAGGGGGGCAACCCCCAAGUAGAGUGGCGAACGGGUGAUUACUACAUCGGAACGUGCCCAGUAGUGGGGGACAACCUCGAGAAAUCGAGGCUAAUACCGCAUACGACCCACGGGUGAAAGCGGGGGACCGCAAGGCCUCGCGCUAUUGGAGCGGCCGAUGUCCGAUUAGCUAGUUGGUGGGGUAAGAGCCCACCAAGGCGACGAUCGGUAGCUGGUCUGAGAGGACGACCAGCCACACUGGGACUGAGACACGGCCCAGACUCCUACGGGAGGCAGCAGUGGGGAAUUUUGGACAAUGGGGGCAACCCUGAUCCAGCCAUGCCGCGUGCGGGAAGAAGGCCUUCGGGUUGUAAACCGCUUUCGGCCGGAACGAAAUCGCAUCCGUGAAUAUCGGGUGUGGAUGACGGUACCGGAAGAAGAAGCACCGGCUAACUACGUGCCAGCAGCCGCGGUAAUACGUAGGGUGCGAGCGUUAAUUGGAAUUACUGGGCGUAAAGCGUGCGCAGGCGGUUCGCUAAGACAGAUGUGAAAGCCCCGGGCUCAACCUGGGAACUGCGUUUGUGACUGGCGGGCUGGAGU